This 83-nucleotide transfer RNA is filed under the name Pontibacillus litoralis JSM 072002. It matches the Rfam family "tRNA". From Rfam's summary of the family: Transfer RNA (tRNA) molecules are approximately 80 nucleotides in length. Lineage: Bacteria; Bacillati; Bacillota; Bacilli; Caryophanales; Bacillaceae. The record is from Rfam by way of RNAcentral.
GCCGAAGUGGUGGAACUGGCAUACACGCAGCACUCAAAAUGCUGUGCCCUCUGGGCUUGUGGGUUCGAAUCCCACCUUCGGUA